UACGUAGGGUGCAAGCGUUGUCCGGAUUUAUUGGGCGUAAAGAGCUUGUAGGCGGUUUGUUGCGUCUGCUGUGAAAUUUCGGGGCUCAACCCCGAACUUGCAGUGGGUACGGGCAGACUAGAGUGUGGUAGGGGAGACUGGAAUUCCUGGUGUAGCGGUGAAAUGCGCAGAUAUCAGGAGGAACACCGAUGGCGAAGGCAGGUCUCUGGGCCACUACUGACGCUGAGAAGCGAAAGCAUGGGGAGCGAACAGG
Molecule: ribosomal RNA, 253 nt
Filed under: uncultured bacterium
Lineage: Bacteria
Description: partial 16S ribosomal RNA
Rfam family: Bacterial small subunit ribosomal RNA
Source: RNAcentral